GGAGGGGAGUGAGUGCACACUACCCUGUGUAGCAUCCGGUCACUGGCAAGCUGAUGUUUGCCAUGAGGAGAUACGGGGACCAGCAGCAAUAGUUCAUGAUUUUAUAGUUAGCAGAUAAUUGCCCUUUAUCCUUGGGGUGCAGCAAGGGAGGGAGGAAGGGUGGUAUGUGUUUUCAUCUUUGGAAGAGAAAAUUAAAUUGGAAUUAUUUUCUAGAAAUUUUGAGAAGUCCACUCAAUUUUCCUGGGAGAGAGUGCUCACUGUGUGAAAGUACAUCCCAUGUUACAAAAGAGUUGUAUGUGUGUGUGUAUAUAUAUAAUAUAUGCACACAUGAAAUUAUGUGUAUAUGUAUAUAUACAUACAUACGUGUAUGUAUAUGUCCCCACGCAGCUAUUUGGUAUUUGUAAGUUUAGACUUCAACUUAACAUAAUAUGAAAACUUCUCUGGUUUACAAAGUGUAAAAUCUUAUACAAGCCAAUGGAUUUCCUACCUCACUGGACACUCGGCUGUCUGUCAUCGGUUCUUGUGUGUACAUACGUCAGAUCUUUUGCUUUAAAUGUAAAUAUUUGCUUUGAAAAGUUACUUACCAUUUUAUGAUAAAGCCCAGUUCUCUCCUCAGUUUAAAGGUAUUUUUUUAAAGACACUUGGUUUAAAUUUCUCUCUAUGAACAGUUUAGCAUUAAGGGUUAAUUUUAAUGGUGUCUGGUAAUUGGCCAAGUGUAAUAUUUCUUAAAAUUUAACAUUACUUUUAACAGCCAGCAUGUAAUACAAGUAACUACACUACCUCAUACACACCUUUGUGAUUUUCAAGUUGUAUUAGGUGGACAGGACAGGUUUUACCUUUGUCUUUGGGCCAUAAGGUGGGUAAUAAUAGAAAUAUAUUGCAUAGCAUUAUACAUGUAUGCCUAUUUUAACGUGAACUUCUAAAACAUUUUCUUUUCUAAGAAGAUUUGUUUUAAGGAAAUAUUGGGGGGGGGGAUGCAGAAGACAAAUGAUAGGAGGAUCAUAUGUGUACAACGUAUGCCUUUUCCUUCAUGCAGAGCUUGGACAGUGGUUUUAGUUGGUGUUUUGCAUAGUCACACAAUCAGAGCUCCUUAUUGUAUAAGCCAGCCUUCUCAAGGCGCGGUGAUUUUUUUUUUUUAAAGCUGUCAUGUCUGACUUGAUACAAUAAUGUCAUCUUUGUCAUCUUAAAUUUUUGCCCCUUAUUUGAAUCCUGUAGCUACAAUCAAAUUAAUUUGUUAAAUUGUUAUACUCAGAAUAAAUAUGGAUAUAACAUUGGUUGUCCACCUGCAAGCUUUCUAACAGUUUACUGUAGCUUGAUGCUUAGCCAGUUUUACAUUAGGAAUUCAACAUACAUGAUACAGGGAUGAGGGUACUCAGCCGCGUUAACAACUUGGAAAAAAAGAAAGAAGCAAAUGGCGAUGUUACAGUGAAUUCUCAGGUGAACUUUCCAGUUAUGAAAACAUCUAUUUUGCAUUUGUAAAUAUUUUAACUGUUUUAUUAAGGCAUGGACUAAACUAUUCUUUGACACCUGUUGGGUAGAGUGAAAAUUUAAAGCCAUAAUGGUAAAAGAUGGCAUACUGAUUGUAAAAUAAACAAAUGAUAAUAAUAAUAAUGAUUUUUUUGUAUCUUUCAUAAUAUAAUUUUUCUAACUGCAAUAAAACCACUGAACUUAUAUAUUCCUGUCCUAUUAAGCCCAUGUUUCAUUAGUAGUACACCUUAUAAUAUUUAAUUUACAUUUUCUAAUGUGCUUGUCUGGAUGUGUCAGUAUAAGUCCUAGAUGGUGAUUCUAGACUGACGGUUAAAUAAAGUUCCUAACAUGGCUUUC
RNAcentral lists this long non-coding RNA (1824 nucleotides) under Mus musculus (house mouse). RNAcentral's name for it is "long non-coding RNA chr16:87731516-87733340". The record is from RNAcentral. Lineage: Eukaryota; Metazoa; Chordata; Mammalia; Rodentia; Muridae.